UACGAGGGGGGCAAGCGUUGUUCGGAAUUAUUGGGCGUAAAGGGUGCGUAGGCGGUUUGGUAAGUCUGAUGUGAAAUCUAUGGGCUCAACUCAUAGUCUGCAUCGGAAACUGCCGGGCUUGAGUGUGGGAGAGGUGAGUGGAAUUCCUGGUGUAGCGGUGAAAUGCGUAGAUAUCAGGAAGAACACCCGUGGCUAAGGCGGCUCUCUAGUACGGUACUGACGCUGAGACGCGAAAGCGUGGGGAGCGAACAGG
RNAcentral lists this ribosomal RNA (253 nucleotides) under uncultured bacterium. RNAcentral's name for it is "partial 16S ribosomal RNA". It matches the Rfam family "Bacterial small subunit ribosomal RNA", at positions 524 to 776 of the family's 1533-position model. The record is from RNAcentral.